RNAcentral lists this ribosomal RNA (523 nucleotides) under uncultured Alphaproteobacteria bacterium. Its description in RNAcentral is "SSU rRNA". It matches the Rfam family "Bacterial small subunit ribosomal RNA", at positions 242 to 782 of the family's 1533-position model. Lineage: Bacteria; Pseudomonadati; Pseudomonadota; Alphaproteobacteria. The record is from RNAcentral.
CAGCUAGUUGGUGAGGUAAAAGCCCACCAAGGCACCGAUCGGUAGCUGGUUUGAGAGAACGACCAGCCACACUGGGACUGAGACACGGCCCAGACUCCUACGGGAGGCAGCAGUAGGGAAUCUUGGACAAUGGGGGAAACCCUGAUCCAGCCAUGCCGCGUGAGUGAUGAAGGCCUUCGGGUUGUAAAACUCUUUCGGCGGGGACGAUAAUGACGGUACCCGCAGAAGAAGCUCCGGCUAACUUCGUGCCAGCAGCCGCGGUAAUACGAAGGGGGCUAGCGUUGUUCGGAAUUACUGGGCGUAAAGCGCGCGCAGGCGGCCUUUCAAGUCAGGGGUGAAAGCCCGGAGCUCAACUCCGGAAUUGCCUUUGAAACUGUCAGGCUCGAGUACGGGAGAGGUGAGUGGAAUUCCCAGUGUAGAGGUGAAAUUCGUAGAUAUUGGGAAGAACACCGGUGGCGAAGGCGGCUCACUGGCCCGUUUCUGACGCUCAGGCGCGACAGCGUGGGGAUCAAACAGGAUUAGA